This is a long non-coding RNA of Scophthalmus maximus (turbot), 2042 nucleotides long. RefSeq lists it as uncharacterized. The record is from RefSeq and is a predicted model, not a curated record. The transcript has 4 exons. NCBI's taxonomy places the organism in Eukaryota, Metazoa, Chordata, Actinopteri, Pleuronectiformes, Scophthalmidae.
GAGAAGGCUCACUGAGCUCCAGAGAGCAAAGGCACAAGAGUGUGAGGGCUGGAGGAACAAGGAGGAAUAAAUCGAUACAACAAAAUCUAGACGGGAGCUUAUCUGCUGAGAUUGUUCGUUGAUAGAUGACGGUGGUGAAGCCCUUUACAAAAAACAAAUGGCUGCAGGUAGCUGAGCGGUGUGCAUACAGCCAAACAAUGAGGGAUAGCUUUGAUUAUGGAACUGCGUCAUCCAUUGCGCAACCAAAAAUGGGAAAACAAGUGUCUAUAUCUGCACAGAGCUACUACAAAAAAACAACUCAACUUCACAAGAGAAAAAAAAAAUCCAGUUGAUGGAGGAAAAAAAGCAGACAAAAAAAGGAGAGUGAUGGAAAAAAGAUAAGACAUAACUGAACCUUGGACGGGCAAGGUCCACUACGUGGAGAGUGCUGCAGGACUUGAGAGGCCUCAAAAAAGGGUUUGUGUCUUCUUUCUGCUGGAUCAGAUAGCAUGCACACAGAUACCUGCCGUCCCCACAGCAAAGCCGGCUACGCCAGCUGCCCUGGCUCCCGAAGAUAAACCCUAAACCUUGAAUGACAGGAUGAGCACUUUGUGCCCCCCCCCCCUCUCAUUUUCCCAUUCUUUUUUAUCUAGUCUAUGACUCUCUCAGCUGGGCCACUUCUGAUUCUUCCAACUCGACAGAUGUACAGAUCUCAUUAUGUCAAAGCCUUUGUGAUUGACAACCUAGUAUUUUCCCUCACGUGUAAAGUGCACAAUCACAAAACACGAAUGCUGAUAGGAGCCAAUCAGACGGCGAGGAUGUGAGGUUGUCCCUGCGUCUCUGAGGGCUGCAGUGGAAUAGGAUGGCGCGGUGCUCGGAGCCCAGGAAACACAUCGUGACGAAUUACAAGAAGAGAUAGUGGAGCUGGGUGAUAGGGGAGAUGAGACAGACCAGGUCUUUAAUGUGUUACCAGGGGAGCGUGUACAUGGGGUGAGUUAAAAAGGACCUGGGCCUCUAGAUUAGUUUUCAAUCAUGCAGCUGUGUUUAGUUGAUUAAUACUGAUCACUGUACAGGAUUACAUUAAAACCAUAGGACAUAAUUUAAACACUUCAUGUAUAUUGUCAGGAUUUUUUUCCUUUUCCAUGUAAAAUUAUUUUAAAGUUUUGCUGCCAUCCGCAAUAUUAGAUUUCAUCAUAUUCUGUACAGUUAAUAUACCCUGAUGCCAUUCAACGUAAAAUAUAAUCCACUUCACGUUAACUUCUGUAUUGAAAACCCUGGAUGACAGACAGAGGAAAGGUAAGCGAUGGGAGGUAUGUCAUUACAUAAAGCGGCAGGGCAAAUUAUACCCACGAUGCACUCCAGCGAGGCCGACGGCAAAUGUUUGUUUUAACACCAAUAGUAGACCCGAGUUCGAAAAUAAACAUUUGGCUCCCAGAUGUAGGAAACGGAAGCAAACAGCCGCCGGUUGAUGAGAUCAGGGAUGAUCCAAUGCGGGAGUCAAACAAAACUCCAAACAAGAGCAACACGUGGCACAAACUACUGGCUUUAACCUUUUUCGUUUUCCUUCUCUCCAGUCACUCACACGAGCACAUUUCCACACUGCAUAUUUUAAAAACGAGCGUUAUGCCAUAGGUAAAAUACUACAGUGGGAAACAAAAACAGGACUAAAGUACUGCGAGAAGUUUGCCUUCAUGGCGACUUCGAGAAGUCAGGUGAGGCAGAACUAACUAAUUAAGUCUGCAUUCAUGAAUUUGUUAAUUCAUCAUAGGAUUUUUGGUUUUGGUUUGGUUGAGGCAACAAAAUUAGCCUUUUUGCCAGGAAAAAGUCUUUAAGGCAAACUUCUCCCUUGUGCCGUGUCAACGUUCCUCUGACGUCUCCGCCCUCGACGUGGUUUCACAACAAUUCACACCUCCGUUCAUGUGAGUCUGACGACUCUGUUCCACGGCUCCCAAGUGAGCGCGACAACUCUCAUGUGAAGCUGAGCGGCAAAUCACUCACAAGGUUUAUGCGACCGCCAGUCGAUGCAACAGCGUGGGGCGCUACCAAUGAGUCUUACAACUUCA